Molecule: transfer RNA, 70 nt
Filed under: Anisosticta novemdecimpunctata (water ladybird)
Lineage: Eukaryota; Metazoa; Arthropoda; Insecta; Coleoptera; Coccinellidae
Description: tRNA-Lys
Source: RNAcentral
CAUUAGAUGACUGAAAGAAAGUAAUGGUCUCUUAAACCAAUUUAUAGUAAUUAACGUCUACUUCUAAUGA